GCAGAGGGCUGGAUGGCCGCGUGGGUGGCAACAUCCGCGAGGAAAGUCCGGACUCCACAAGGCAACGGUGCCGGGUAACGCCCGGGCGGGGAAACCCGACGGAAAGCGCCACAGAAAUGAAACCGCCCCGAACCUGUUUCGGGGUAAGGGUGAAACGGUGGGGUAAGAGCCCACCGCGCCCCUGGCAACAGGGGUGGCACGGCAAGCCCCACCUGGAGCAAUGCCAAAUAGGACCCCCGCGCGGGCCGGUCGGCGUCAGCCGAUACCGCCGCUAGGCCGCCUUGGCCGAGAGGGAUCGGGUUGGCAGCUAGAGGCGUCUGGCAACAGGCGCACCAGAGGAAUGGUCAUCAAAGGGGGCAACCCCGGAACAAAAUCCGGCUUAUAGGCUCUCUGCGCGU
This 398-nucleotide RNase P RNA is filed under the name Aliisedimentitalea scapharcae. RNAcentral's name for it is "RNase P RNA component class A". It matches the Rfam family "Bacterial RNase P class A". Rfam says of the family: Ribonuclease P (RNase P) is a ubiquitous endoribonuclease, found in archaea, bacteria and eukarya as well as chloroplasts and mitochondria. The record is from RNAcentral. RNAcentral also lists the same sequence under 1 other name. Lineage: Bacteria; Pseudomonadati; Pseudomonadota; Alphaproteobacteria; Rhodobacterales; Roseobacteraceae.